RNAcentral lists this ribosomal RNA (255 nucleotides) under uncultured bacterium. RNAcentral describes it as "partial 16S ribosomal RNA". It matches the Rfam family "Bacterial small subunit ribosomal RNA", at positions 524 to 776 of the family's 1533-position model. The record is from RNAcentral.
UACGUAGGUGGCGAACGUUAUCCGGAAUUAUUGGGCGUAAAGGAUGCGUAGAUGGUGUAGUAAGUUAUCGGUGGCAAAUCGAGGCUCAACCUCGUGGAAGUCGGUAAUACUGCUAUGCUAGAGGAUAGGAGAGGUUAACGGAACUCCCUGUGGAGCGGUGAAAUGCGUAGAUAUAGGGAAGAACACCAAUCAGGCGAAGGCAGUUAACUAGUCUAUUCCUGACAUUGAGGCAUGAAAGCGUGGGGAGCAAAACGG